This 247-nucleotide ribosomal RNA is filed under the name uncultured bacterium. RNAcentral's name for it is "partial 16S ribosomal RNA". It matches the Rfam family "Bacterial small subunit ribosomal RNA", at positions 88 to 334 of the family's 1533-position model. The record is from RNAcentral.
AUGGCGACCGGCGCACGGGUGAGUAACGCGUAUGCAACUUACCUAUCAGAGGGGGAUAGCCCGGCGAAAGUCGGAUUAAUACCCCAUAAAACAGGGGUCCCGCAUGGGAAUAUUUGUUAAAGAUUCAUCGCUGAUAGAUAGGCAUGCGUUCCAUUAGGCAGUUGGCGGGGUAACGGCCCACCAAACCGACGAUGGAUAGGGGUUCUGAGAGGAAGGUCCCCCACAUUGGUACUGAGGCACGGACCAA